This 109-nucleotide small nuclear RNA is filed under the name Physeter macrocephalus (sperm whale). The record is from RNAcentral. Lineage: Eukaryota; Metazoa; Chordata; Mammalia; Artiodactyla; Physeteridae.
UGCUCGCUUGGGCAGUACACUAAAACUAGAACAAUACUGAGAAGAUUAAUUAUUAGCAUGGCCCCUGCACAAGGAUGACAUGCAAAUCUGUGACGUGAUACAUAGUUUU